This is a long non-coding RNA of Sitophilus oryzae (rice weevil), 738 nucleotides long. RefSeq lists it as uncharacterized. The record is from RefSeq and is a predicted model, not a curated record. NCBI's taxonomy places the organism in Eukaryota, Metazoa, Arthropoda, Insecta, Coleoptera, Curculionidae. The transcript has 3 exons.
GCCGUUCUUAGCGACCUAAAGUCCCUAGAUAUAUAAAGUACCGCAAUUACCGCCAUUUUGGCGCCAAAACUAGCGGCAAAUUUAAAAAGGAGGCCAACAUUUCGCUGUUUCGGCUUUUUAAGCAGCUGGUCGGUCCGGCGCCAAUAUGGCCGACCAACAUUGACAGGCAAGCCGUAAAAUAAAAUAUUUAUUAAUUGUAAUAGAAUUACGUUUAUUAUCUACAGUUUACCUUCAUUUUAACGCCUAUAUAUGUUAAGAGGUUAUAAACGAAUGGUUUCCGUACAAGUGUUUUUCAUUUGUAUUAGCAUUUAUUUUAUGUUACCUUUUAGCGCAAAGUACGCCAACAGAAUACUUAAUUCAGUCGAAACAAUUGGAAAAACUUUGUUUGUUGAUGAGAACGGGAUACCUAUACCAUAAGUAAACUUUCCCUAUUAUACCAGUUAUGCUGUAGUUAGUUUUGACAAAUAAGCAUGAUUUAACGAAAGUCUUUGGAACUAUGAAUAAGCUACAAACUUAAAUUUGAAGGCCGGCUUUUAUACGAGAAAAUUUUGAACCAUGGUUGAAACAAAUAAAUGUAAUAAUUAAAUUGAUAUGAUACAUACCUGCUAUUUUUGAAAUAUAUUAAUAUAUUGAUAGAAAGAUUGUUUCAGUUAGUAUGACUUCAGGUAGUUUCAGCAUUUUAGGUAUGUAAUUGUGCACUUAUUUUAUAAAUAACUUAGAAAGAAGCUUGAAACACAU